This 399-nucleotide long non-coding RNA is filed under the name Rattus norvegicus (Norway rat). RNAcentral's name for it is "long non-coding RNA NONRATT009971". The record is from RNAcentral. Lineage: Eukaryota; Metazoa; Chordata; Mammalia; Rodentia; Muridae.
CUGCAAACUUCGUUUUGUAGAGUGGAUUAAGCAUCCUACGGAGCCUUUGAAGGACUCCAGAGUGUGCCUGAAUGGAUCCGAAUAGCAACUGAGCCGUUCAUUUGACAAACACACAUGAACUGUCUACUGAGUGGCAUGGGCAAAGGCUCUGGGGAGAAACAACACACGAAGUGCUUGCUGCUCCUGCUCUCUUGAAGCUCUGUUCUAAUGAUGACGGGCAGACACUGACAUAUAACUACAAAUGCUGAUUGGUGGGAUCCAUUAUAGACAAGAUGAAUCCUGAAGAAGAAAAAGCAAACAUAAUUUCAGAGGACUUCACUGGAGAUGGUGUGGACACAGAGGCUGGAAGACAGAAGAAGAAUUUGAAGGUACAAAAGAAACAGAAAAAGAAAAGGGUGA